This 253-nucleotide ribosomal RNA is filed under the name uncultured bacterium. RNAcentral's name for it is "partial 16S ribosomal RNA". It matches the Rfam family "Bacterial small subunit ribosomal RNA", at positions 524 to 776 of the family's 1533-position model. The record is from RNAcentral.
GACGUAGGGCGCGAGCGUUGUCCGGAUUUACUGGGCGUAAAGAGCGCGCAGGCGGUCGUUCAAGUCGCGUGUGAAAGCCCCCGGCUCAACUGGGGAGGGUCACGCGAUACUGAUCGACUCGAAGGCAGGAGAGGGUAGUGGAAUUCCCGGUGUAGUGGUGAAAUGCGUAGAUAUCGGGAGGAACCCCAGAGGCGAAGGCGGCGCUCUGGCUCGCAACUGACGCUCAGACACGACAGCAUGGGGAGCGAACGGG